AAGAGUAAUUUUUAAUUGGUAAAGUUUUAGGAAUAAUUAAUUCAACCCCCCCUUCUUAAUUAUUCUGAGGCCACUCGAUCCAACAUCUUUGAGGAGUUGUGUGGCAAGGUGCUUAAUGAGAGUAAUUUAGAGCACCUAGAGCAUCAAGUAGCUCUAACAUUAUGCCAAUUAGAACAGAUUUUUCCUCCAUCUUUUUUCACUGUAAUGGUACAUUUGGUAAUCCAUUUGGCACAUGAAGCAAGAGUUGGAGGUCCUGUACAUUACCGAUGGAUGUAUCCUAUUGAAAGGUUCCUUUUGACUCUAAAGUCAUUUGUUCAUAAUCGAGCACAUCCAGAAGGAUCUAUUGUAGAAGGAUAUUUAGCUCAUGAAUGCUUGAUAUUUUGUUCAAGAUAUCUAUCUAAGGUGGAGACUCAUUUUAAUCAAUCUGCUCGAAAUGAUGACUCAUGUUUUGUGGAAAAUGUAAGUGUUUUAAAUCCUAGAGGUAGACCAUUGGGGAGAAAGAAGCAAGUUGGAUUCAAUUUGAAGAAGAGAAAAAGAGAUUCUCGAAUUUCUCUUGAUAAGAAAGCAUUGGUUCAAGCACAUAGAUAUGUGCUUUUCAAUAGCAACAAUGUUGAACACUUUCAAACGUAAUACAAUUUUUUUCAUGUUCAUUUAGUUAUUGAAUAUUUGUAUAAUAUCUUUCUAUCAAUGAUAAUGCUUACUUUUUCUAACCUUUUUUACAUAGAGCCCAUACUAAUCUUAUCAAGAGACAAAAUUGUCGAUUAUCUCCAUAUGAAGUUGACAAAAUUCAUAGUAAAGAAUUUCCAUAUUGGUUUUGUGAAAGAGUAAGUUUAGGAAGCAUCAAUAAUAUUAAAUUUUGCAUUCAUUUAAAAUUUUAACCAUUUGAAAUAAAAUUGUGGUAGGUUGCUCGAUUAGAAGAGCAAGACAACACUCUAAUGACAAAUGAUAUCAAGUGGUUAGCUCGUGGUCCACUAGAAAUAGUGAGAAGAUAUAACGGGUACAUUUUUAAUGAAGUUAGAUUUCAUACAAAGACACGUGAAAGGUGCUUGAAGACUCAAAACAGUGGCAUUGUUGUAACUGUUAAGACAUUAAGUUAUGCCAGUUCAAGAGAUAAAAACCCAAAGGAGGGAGAAAUCCACUACUAUGGUGCACUAACAGAUAUAAUUCAAUUGGAUUAUUCUAGAAAAUAUAAGGCUAUACUUUUCAAGUGUGAUUGAGUUGAUAUAUACAGGGGUUGCAAAAUUGAUAACUUCGGUAUGACAUUAGUGAAUUUCAAUUAUUUGCAACAUACAGGGAAUGAUAUAUGUGACGAUCCAUUUGUUUUUGGAUCUCAAGCUAAGAAAGUAUUCUAUGUGGAGAAUAAAACACAAAAUGGUUGGCUUGUUGUUGUGCAUGCAAAAAUCAGAAAUGUAUAUGAUAUGGGUGAUGAGCAAUCCAAUGACACGGAUCAAGGGAAUGAACAAAUCUUACAAGAGAUAAAUCAUAAUGAUUUGGUCAGACCAGAAGCCGAUGAUAGUGAUGAUAUCAUUGAAGUUACAAUACCUAUGGAGAACAUUUUAUCACAUGACAAGGAUGAUAAUUAUAUAGAUGAUGAUGAGAGCGAUGCAGACUUCUUUUGAUUUGUUUUUAUUUGUUCUAUUUGAACAUUUGGUUAUAUUUUGAGUAUACAUGUAUUGAACAUUUUGUCACAUUUAUAUACUCUUAUUCCUUUCUUUA
This is a long non-coding RNA of Glycine soja, 1716 nucleotides long. RefSeq lists it as uncharacterized. The transcript has 2 exons. NCBI's taxonomy places the organism in Eukaryota, Viridiplantae, Streptophyta, Magnoliopsida, Fabales, Fabaceae. The record is from RefSeq and is a predicted model, not a curated record.